Non-coding RNA from Paramuricea clavata, 1630 nucleotides. The record is from the annotation of a GenBank genome assembly. Lineage: Eukaryota; Metazoa; Cnidaria; Anthozoa; Malacalcyonacea; Plexauridae.
UAAAAAACUUAGUGUAUUUUUCAGAGAAGGCUUUCCUGUUGAAAAACAGCCUAUUUUUUGAGGUAAUAUUGCAUUUUUUUUCAUUUUCUGUUAUUUUAUUUGUGUUCUAAAUGUGUCUCUGUCAUACUUUUUGUGUAUUUUCUUUAUUUAGUGAUUUAUUUGCUUCAAAAUUUUGCAAAUUGUAGCCAUGCACUUUCACACGAAUUUUUACCGUUGUUUGCAUCCAAGCAUGAACAGUUGGAUAUUAAUAACAAUAAUAACAUUGUCUAUGCUCAUGUCAAAGUAUCAAGCUAAGACCAUCAGACAGGUUUAAAUCUGACCAGCGAAUCAUGUUUAACCAUCCUUGGGCAGUUGGGCUGACUGACUGCACUGGAUAGUUUUGAAAUUGCUUAAUUGCAUGCCCAGAGCCCCCAGUAUGGAAAGCUUGUAUCGUGCAAUCGAGAUAUUGGGCAUGCAAUUUUCUUUAAACUUUUGAAAUCUCAGGAUUUCCAGAGCCCAAUAUUUAAAGAGUUUAUACAGAAAACAUCAAAACUAUACAACCAAUCCAAUAUCAUGUUAGCACAAUAUAAACUUUCCACAGUGGAUUGCCGAGCUGAUUGAAACCUUGGAAUUACCUAGUUUUGGAGUUAUAUUUUGGUAUUUCCCUCAAAAACAUUGUCUACAUGUAUCUCAUUGCAUACUUUUAAUGUUAAGCCCACUAUCACCUAGAUUUUAGAAAGCUUGUGUGAUCAAAAUGGCUCCACUACUCCGAGGAUUUGUACAAACCAGGAUAAGAAAUGAUCUCAUGGUUGGGAUGGCAUUUGGCAUGGUUGCUGGUUUUCUGUGGAAAUUUGGUUAUGCUGAUCCAUUAAGACGAAAAUAUGAAAGAUAUUAUAAAAAUUUUGAUGCAGAAAAAGCUGCCUUAGAAAUGGAGAAACAAUAAAAUUUUUUGUUGAUAUAGGUCUGUGUUUUUACAGUCUUAAUUCUUAGGAUAUAUCUAAUUAGAAAUAUGAUGCAUCUAAUUAGAACAAGGAUCUAUCUAAUUAGAACACAAAUGCUUCCAAUGAGAACACGAUUCUUCUAAUUAGAACAAAGAUGCAUCUAAUUAGAACAAAGAUGCAUCUAAUUAGAACAAAGAUGCAUCUAAUUAGAACAAAGAUGCAUCUAAUUAGAACAAAGAUGCAUCUAAUUAGAACAAAAAGUCAUGCAAUUAGAACAAGUUUAGAUCUAAUUAGAACAAAAUCAUCCAAUUAGAACAAGUUUAGAUCUAAUUAGAACAAAAUCAUCCAAUUAGAACAAGGAUUUUAUUAAUUAGAAACCAAUUUCCUUUAAUUAGAGCAAAGAUUACUUUUAUAUGAAUGAAAUUAGUUGAUUGAUUGAUUGAUUGCAACACACAGCAAAUUUGGAAAAUUUUUGAUUUGGUGAAAACACUGAAGUCAGUAUCAUGAUAUAUAUUUAAUACUUCUCCAUCUAACUCACUGCAUUCUGCCUUCUUUCUAGGUUCAAACCAUUAUGCUGGUAGUUAAAUGAAUUUGAGAAAUCAUGGUGCAACGCUAUGGACAUCUCCUGUCACUUUUUAUUUUUAAACUACUGUAUAAUUUUCCAAGAGUUUCUAUUUAUGUGAAAUAAAGUUUUAUGUGUUUUUGACGAU